Molecule: ribosomal RNA, 484 nt
Filed under: uncultured bacterium
Lineage: Bacteria
Description: partial 16S ribosomal RNA
Rfam family: Bacterial small subunit ribosomal RNA
Source: RNAcentral
AUUGAACGCUGGCGGAAUGCUUUACACAUGCAAGUCGAACGGCAGCACGGGGGCAGCCCUGGUGGCGAGUGGCGAACGGGUGAGUAAUACAUCGGAACGUGCCCGGUCGUGGGGGAUAACGUAGCGAAAGUUACGCUAAUACCGCAUACGAUCUGAGGAUGAAAGCGGGGGACCUUCGGGCCUCGCGCGAUCGGAGCGGCCGAUGUCAGAUUAGGUAGUUGGUGGGGUAAAGGCCUACCAAGCCGACGAUCUGUAGCUGGUCUGAGAGGACGACCAGCCACACUGGGACUGAGACACGGCCCAGACUCCUACGGGAGGCAGCAGUGGGGAAUUUUGGGCAAUGGGCGCAAGCCUGAUCCAGCCAUUCCGCGUGAAGGACGAAGGCCUUCGGGUUGUAAACUGCUUUUGUACGGAACGAAAAGGCUCUGGCUAAUACCUGGGGCUCAUGACGGUACCGUAAGAAUAAGCACCGGCUAACUACGUG